GAUGAAGAACGCAGCGAAAUGCGAUAAGUAAUAUGAAUUGCAGAUAUUCGUGAAUCAUCGAAUCUUUGAACGCACAUUGCGCCCUUUGGUAUUCCAAAGGGCAUGCCUGUUUGAGCGUCAUUUCUCCCUCAAACCCUCGGGUUUGGUGUUGAGCGAUACGCUGGGUUUGCUUGAAAGAAAGGCGGAGUAUAAACUAAUGGAUAGGUUUUUUCCACUCAUUGGUACAAACUCCAAAACUUCUUCCAAAUUCGACCUCAAAUCAGGUAGGACUACCCGCUGAACUUAAGCAUAUCAAUAAGCGGAGGA
Molecule: unclassified non-coding RNA, 306 nt
Filed under: soil metagenome
Description: partial contains 5.8S ribosomal RNA, internal transcribed spacer 2, and large subunit ribosomal RNA
Rfam family: 5.8S ribosomal RNA (bases 1-120)
Source: RNAcentral